UACGUAGGGUGCAAGCGUUACCCGGAUUUAUUGGGCGUAAAGAGUGCGUAGGCGGUUUUGAAAGUCAUUAUUGAAAUCUUAGGGCUUAACCCUAAGCCUGGUAGUGAUACUUCAAGACUAGAUUACUUGAGGGGGUACCGGAACAGUUGGUGGAGCAGUGAAAUGCGUUGAGAUCAACUGGAACACCAAAGGCGAAGGCAGGUACCUGGUAAGUCAAUGACGCUGUUGCACGAAAGCGUGGGGAGCAAAACGG
This 253-nucleotide ribosomal RNA is filed under the name uncultured bacterium. RNAcentral describes it as "partial 16S ribosomal RNA". It matches the Rfam family "Bacterial small subunit ribosomal RNA", at positions 524 to 776 of the family's 1533-position model. The record is from RNAcentral.